This 144-nucleotide ribosomal RNA is filed under the name Escherichia coli. Its description in RNAcentral is "partial 23S ribosomal RNA". It matches the Rfam family "Bacterial large subunit ribosomal RNA", at positions 1 to 134 of the family's 2925-position model. The record is from RNAcentral. RNAcentral also lists the same sequence under 9 other names. Lineage: Bacteria; Pseudomonadati; Pseudomonadota; Gammaproteobacteria; Enterobacterales; Enterobacteriaceae.
GGGUUGUGAGGUUAAGCGACUAAGCGUACACGGUGGAUGCCCUGGCAGUCAGAGGCGAUGAAGGGCGUGCUAAUCUGCGAUAAGCGCCGGUAAGGUGAUAUGAACCGUUAUAACCGGCGAUACCCGAAUGGGGAAACCCAGUGU